CCAGCAGCUGCGGUAAUUCCAGCUCCAAUAGCGUAUAUUAAAGUUGUUGCGGUUAAAAAGCUCGUAGUUGGAUCUCGGCGGCCAGGGGGUGGUUCGCUCUACGGCGUUACUGCCCCAUUUGGCCGUGUGAUUGGCGGAGGUUUAGAGGUGCUCUUGAUCGAGUGUCUCUAGAUGCCAGCAGGUUUACUUUGAAAAAAUUAGAGUGCUCAAAGCAGGCUAUUCCGCCUGAAUAUUCGUGCAUGGAAUAAUAGAAUAGGAUGUCGAUCCUAUUUUGUUGGUUUUCGGGACUCGACAUAAUGAUUAAUAGGGACAAUUGGGGGCAUUUGUAUUCAAACGACAGAGGUGAAAUUCUUGGACCGUUUGAAGACAAACUACUGCGAAAGCAUUUGCCAAGAAUGUUUUCAUUAAUCAAGAACGAAAGU
RNAcentral lists this ribosomal RNA (422 nucleotides) under uncultured eukaryote. Its description in RNAcentral is "SSU rRNA". It matches the Rfam family "Eukaryotic small subunit ribosomal RNA", at positions 567 to 990 of the family's 1831-position model. The record is from RNAcentral.